RNAcentral lists this ribosomal RNA (253 nucleotides) under uncultured bacterium. RNAcentral describes it as "partial 16S ribosomal RNA". It matches the Rfam family "Bacterial small subunit ribosomal RNA", at positions 524 to 776 of the family's 1533-position model. The record is from RNAcentral.
UACGGGGGGGGCAAGCGUUGUUCGGAAUUACUGGGCGUAAAGGGCUCGUAGGCGGCCAACUAAGUCAGACGUGAAAUCCCUCGGCUUAACCGGGGAACUGCCUCUGAUACUGGAUGGCUUGAGGUUGGGAGAGGGAUGCGGAAUUCCAGGUGUAGCGGUGAAAUGCGUAGAUAUCUGGAGGAACACCGGUGGCGAAGGCGGCAUCCUGGACCAAUUCUGACGCUGAGGAGCGAAAGCCAGGGGAGCAAACGGG